Molecule: ribosomal RNA, 488 nt
Filed under: uncultured bacterium
Lineage: Bacteria
Description: SSU rRNA
Rfam family: Bacterial small subunit ribosomal RNA
Source: RNAcentral
AGGACGAACGCUGGCGGCGUGCUUAACACAUGCAAGUCGAACGGGCUCGUGGCACUUGUGUUGCGGGUUAGUGGCGAACGGGUGAGUAACACGUGAGUAACCUGCCCCAGACUCUGGGAUAACUCCGGGAAACCGGUGCUAAUACUGGAUAUGACAUCAAGCCGCAUGGUUAUGGUGUGGAAAGUUUUUCGGUCUGGGAUGGGCUCGCGGCCUAUCAGCUUGUUGGUGAGGUAGUGGCUCACCAAGGCGACGACGGGUAGCCGGCCUGAGAGGGCGAUCGGCCACACUGGGACUGAGACACGGCCCAGACUCCUACGGGAGGCAGCAGUGGGGAAUAUUGCACAAUGGGCGCAAGCCUGAUGCAGCGACGCCGCGUGAGGGAUGAAGGCCUUCGGGUUGUAAACCUCUUUCAGCAGGGGAGAAGCCGUUCGGGUGACGGUACCGUGCAGAAGAAGCACCGGCUAACUACGCGCCAGCAGCCGCGGUAA